Cercocebus atys (sooty mangabey) is the source of this 415-nucleotide long non-coding RNA. RefSeq lists it as uncharacterized. The record is from RefSeq and is a predicted model, not a curated record. The transcript is spliced from 3 exons. Lineage: Eukaryota; Metazoa; Chordata; Mammalia; Primates; Cercopithecidae.
CUGCCAUGAUUGUGAGGCUUCCCCAGCCACAUGAAAAUAAACUCCAGACUCAGCUGGCAGAGCAGAGAAAAGCAGCUGGACGUCAGAGACUACGGCUGGAUGUUGGAGAGAAGCAGCUUGACUUCAGAGGGACAGUUUGGCAAGACCUUGCCCUCCAACCAACACAGAAGCCAGAAUGAUCUUUCUAAAACUCAAGUAAGUUUCUAUCAUUCCUUUACUAAAAGUCUCCAGUUAUGCCUCAUUUUUUUCAGAAUAAAUGCCAAAGUUCUUAAAAUUUCCAUAAGCCUCUAAUGAUCUGGUUUCUACCUCUCUGACUUCAUCUCCUAUUACUCUCCUUUAAUUAUUUAAUGAUUGUUAAGAAUUGUGUCAUAUAAACCAAAACCUCAGAAAAUAUAUUAUCCUGAAGUAAUAUCAG